This 232-nucleotide ribosomal RNA is filed under the name uncultured bacterium. RNAcentral's name for it is "partial 16S ribosomal RNA". It matches the Rfam family "Bacterial small subunit ribosomal RNA", at positions 99 to 334 of the family's 1533-position model. The record is from RNAcentral.
CGGACGGGUGAGUAAUGUCUGGGAAACUGCCUGAUGGAGGGGGAUAACUACUGGAAACGGUAGCUAAUACCGCAUAACGUCGCAAGGCCAAAGAGGGGGACCUUAGGGCCUCUUGCCAUCGGAUGUGCCCAGAUGGGAUUAGCUUGUUGGUGGGGUAACGGCUCACCAAGGCGACGAUCCCUAGCUGGUCUGAGAGGAUGACCAGCCACACUGGAACUGAGACACGGUCCAG